Nerophis ophidion (straightnose pipefish) is the source of this 611-nucleotide long non-coding RNA. RefSeq lists it as uncharacterized. NCBI's taxonomy places the organism in Eukaryota, Metazoa, Chordata, Actinopteri, Syngnathiformes, Syngnathidae. The record is from RefSeq and is a predicted model, not a curated record. The transcript has 3 exons.
UGCCCUCAGUCCCACACCUAUUCCUGAUUAUCACUAGCCAGUAUUUAAGUAAUUUUCUUUCUGUUCAUCAGUCUGGGAACUUUGCUUUCAUUGCCGUUCAUACUUCAUGCCAUGCUUUUCGAUUCAUCCACGCCAACAUCGCCGGUAAAAUGUGCGGACCAAACGAGGGAUUUUCGCAUCUCUUGACACUGGAGCAACUUAAAUCUGUCGAUUGCUUCUCAGGCAAAUCGAAGGGGGCAACAGCCUAAGCAGGGAAACCCAAACUUUCCUCUCCCCAGCCACUUCGUCCAGCUCUUCCCGGGGGAUCCCGAGGCAUUCCGAGGCCAGCCAGGAGACAUAGUCUUCCCAACGUGUCCUGGGUCUUCCCCGUGGCCUCCUACCGGUCGGACGUGCCCUAAACACCUCCCUGGGGAGGCGUUCAAGUGGAAUCCUGACCAGAUGCCCGAACCACCUCAUCUGGCUCCUCUCCACCUCGGAUAAGCGGAAGAAGAUGGAUGAUGUACAAUAAAUGCCCAUAUCGAUAUGUUCAGAUUUACUUUACAAAAGAGAAAUGUAGGAUACUUCUCUUGUUGCCUUAUUUGUGUUUGACUUUAUUAAAUGUAUUUACAUUA